GAAAGAAUCAUCGGAAACACUUAUCUCUCGGAGGGGGCUAAACAAGGGCAUGGGAAAAUGGUCAUUUUAAGUAUGAGGCAAUAUAAUGAAAACAGUACCAGCAGAAUAGGCUCGACAAGACGAAAAGGGAGGGCUUUGGAAUCACCUGAAUGGGAGCUACAGUUGCUGAGAUAUGGCUAGAUGAAGGGUAGGGACUAAUGUGUAAAACAAAACUUUAAAAAACUAGUCCCUGGCUACUUAAACACAAAGCAUCUUUCUAGCAGAGAAAACGUACUUCAGUUAGAAACCGAAGGAAAGUACGCUAUCCACUUCAAAAAACGGAAAAUCCAAGAUGCGCUUUCACUUAAAAUGGUGAGAGCACACGACAUGUCAACGCUAAGACGCUAACGGGUAGGACCCAUCGCAGGUUCUCUCUCUCAUAUGGUCUUCUUCUUCUACCUCGCGACAAAGGAACAAGGGGCUUCGGGCGCCGUCAGGGUUCACCGCUUUCUGGUGCCAGCGGGCCAUCCGUGGAGCGCAAUGGUUCGACCACGCUGUGCCGUGCCCGUAGUAGGUCUCGCGGUCACUCUUGAUGGCCUACAGUGUCAGUUCCAUGGCUCAGCCUGCGCGGUUGGAGAGUUCAAGGGGGAGUGAAACCGUGGGGUCUCCUAGGAGGAAAAGCGGGCGGCAGCGGGUCAGCGGCAUCCAGGGGGCUCUGGGC
RNAcentral lists this long non-coding RNA (700 nucleotides) under Hordeum vulgare. RNAcentral describes it as "long non-coding RNA (HVUL_LNC004062)". Lineage: Eukaryota; Viridiplantae; Streptophyta; Magnoliopsida; Poales; Poaceae. The record is from RNAcentral.